AGUGAACGCUGGCGGUAGGCCUAACACAUGCAAGUCGAACGGCAGCACAGUAAGAGCUUGCUCUUACGGGUGGCGAGUGGCGGACGGGUGAGGAAUACAUCGGAAUCUACUUUUUCGUGGGGGAUAACGUAGGGAAACUUACGCUAAUACCGCAUACGACCUACGGGUGAAAGCAGGGGAUCUUCGGACCUUGCGCGAUUGAAUGAGCCGAUGUCGGAUUAGCUAGUUGGCGGGGUAAAGGCCCACCAAGGCGACGAUCCGUAGCUGGUCUGAGAGGAUGAUCAGCCACCCUGGAACUGAGACACGGUCCAGACUCCUACGGGAGGCAGCAGUGGGGAAUUUUGGACAAUGGGCGCAAGCCUGAUCCAGCCAUACCGCGUGGGUGAAGAAGGCCUUCGGGUUGUAAAGCCCUUUUGUUGGGAAAGAAAAGCGGCAGGUUAAUACCCCGCUGUUCUGACGGUACCCAAAGAAUAAGCACCGGCUAACUUCGUG
This 492-nucleotide ribosomal RNA is filed under the name uncultured bacterium. RNAcentral's name for it is "partial 16S ribosomal RNA". It matches the Rfam family "Bacterial small subunit ribosomal RNA", at positions 29 to 507 of the family's 1533-position model. The record is from RNAcentral.